CAACACAUUAGUUGUUAACGUUAUAUUUAUUCGUUUAGAAUAAUGUUCCACUUUGCAUCAUAAAAAUGUGAACUAAAUUAUCAGUAGUAGAGCAAUCAUCAAUAUGUUUCAUUAUUUCGGGAUUUAUACAGUACUCAAUUGUUAACAAUAUUUCAAGAAUCUAAAUAAUCAAAGGAAACUUCCAAAACUAAUUUUAACAUGAAUUUUUUGUAAUCAUUUAGGACAUUCAAAUGAUUACUUGUAACUAUGCAGUAUAUAUAAGUUCCUGAAACUUCGUCUCAGUCUCUCAUAAUGAACAUGGCGUUUUCAUUGAAUUUAAUUUUGUAGUAAAUGAUAUUUAAAAACAUUUAGAUAAUAUUUUAUUAAGUCACUGGUAUGUUAAAUUAUACAAUGUUUUACACAUUUAUAUUAAAUAAACUACAUAAAUAACUGA
Molecule: long non-coding RNA, 433 nt
Organism: Aethina tumida (small hive beetle)
Lineage: Eukaryota; Metazoa; Arthropoda; Insecta; Coleoptera; Nitidulidae
Exons: 3
Source: RefSeq, a predicted model, not a curated record